GGGCUUUUCUUUUUCUGAAGCAGAAUGAUUGUACAGCAUACAUCUGUAAUCAACACAGGACCAAAAUUAUACAUACAGGUCAAAAAUAUACAUACAAACACUUAGAUUAUUAAUUCAAUGGUGCUGCAAGCUCCAAAAUAUCCUUUAACUUGCCAAGAUCAAGGACUCUUAAUUUCCUGUUAGUGAUCAUGAUUGACUACAGCUGGCAGCUUCUCUGUGACAACAUAAAAAGGGCUUGUUUAACAGCACUCAUAGGAUUGACCAACACACAGUACUAUGGGAAAGUCCAAGGAGCACAGUGCAGAUCUGAAAAAGAGGAAGCUAAAUUUACACAAGACAGGAAUGUCUCUUGGAGCAAUUUCUAAACAAUUGCAGAUUCCAAGUUCAUCAGUUCAAACAAUUGUACAUGUUAUUGGGAAAUGUAGCCACUUUGCCAAGGUCUGGAAGAAGACCCAAACGGUCACCCUUAACUGAGAGGAACUUGGUUCGGAUGGUCAGGAAAACCAAGGAACCACCAAGGCACAGGCCUGCCAUGAACUGGAAGCUCAUACCACUGUGGGUUGAUCAGGCGGACAUCAUCCUCUGGAAAUUCACGUGAAACCUUGACCCAGUCCGUGCCACGUUUUGCCAUGAACAGUCGUCGUAGUUCAUGAGUGGUGGGUCUGAAUUCUCUGCAGAAUAUCUGAAGUUCAUCCCCAAUUUUUCGUCCUCCUACUUUGCGGAGUGCCGGCAGAUGCGUUACGCUGCUCUUGAUGUCUUCCAAUGUCCAGGGUCUGUGAACUAGCAUAGGGACUCCUUCUCUGGCCACUUCUGGCAUUGGGGCAUUUACCGCGGCGUGCAUUGUCCCUUCUCUGUCCGAUUUUGUUGGUCUGAAGCACUCAGGCAACAAUGUUGUUAGUCCCUUCACUUGCGCUCUCGUGUGUAGCGCCACUGGUGAAGCUAGGAUGGCUGGAGAAUAGUUCGGUGGGGGUUGGUGGCUCAGUUCUGACAGGUUCGGAGAGUGGCGUAGGCUGGGCCGCUUCAUUGUGAGGAGGUGUCCCUAAAACUGCAGAUUCCUCCUGCCUUACUGGCUGUGGGCGUCGCGGUGGGGCGGAGUCCAGGUCGGGAUCGGCUUUCUGCAAUUUAGCACACUGAGAAACAGAUGAGGGCCCUGACUGACAUUUUUUUCUCUAUUUUAUGUGCCUCACUCUGCCAUUCAGCAAAUGCCUUCCAGUCAGCCAAAAACUGCACUUCGCUCUUUGUUUUAGGGGUCUCUCUCUACUUUGUCUCUAAAUUAAGUUUCAGUUGUUCUAACUGUCUGAGGCUAAAGCUACCUUUUUCUGGGAAAGAACAUUCUUUAACCCAUACAUCAUAUUGGUUCAAACAUCCUUCCCCAUAAUUCACACGCAUAAAUAUGAUAUUAGGAUCAACAUAUGAAAACCCUGUACAUACCAUAGGAUGUGUUUUGCUACAUGUUUUCCCAAUAUUUUAUUUAUUUUUUCUAUUUUUAUUUCUUUACAGCUUCUCUAUCUUUCAAAGUUUUAAGCAAUUUAACGUGCUAUGAAAAUCAAGUGAAUAUGCAUUCUUGCGCACAGACAGAAAACGUUCAAAAUGUGUGCCAAAUCUCUAGACAUUCAUUUAAUCAUAUAACUUAUAGGAUCAAUAGAGCAAAGCUUAAGAAUGUAAAAGAGUUUACCUGUGCGUGCGAGUCCACAUACAGCAAUUUGGUAGGGCUUACAGUUUUCUUUUCCCUGCUUUUUUUUUUUAUAUAUAUUUUUUAAAUUAUUUUUUUUUAAUCUCAGUAACAUUUACUUGUGUGUUAAAUUUGACAAAUGUAUCAUGUACCGCUGAUAUGAUGGAAUGAGUCAAUGGGGCAUGAAACUUCAUAAUAACUUGUGCUUCUUAAUAAGUACUUUCUUUAAUUAUUUAUUGCUCGAACUGGACUCAUUCCGUUAGCAAAUAUUUUUACCGUUAUUAUAUCUCUCUCUGUAUAUAUACAGUAUCUCACAAAAGUGAGUACACCCCUCACAUUUUUGUAAAUAUUUGAUUAUAUCUUUUCAUGUGACAACACUGAAGAAAUGACACUUUGCUGCAAUGUAAAGUAGUGAGUGUACAGCUUGUGUAACAGUGUAAAUUUGCUGUCCCCUCAAAAUAACUCAACACACAGCCAUUAAUGUCUAAUCAAAGAUAUAAAUCAAAAUAUAAUCAAAUAUUUACAAAAAUGUGAGGGGUGUACUCACUUUUGUGAAACUGUCUGUACCUGUAGGUAUAUAUCUUAGUUUUGAAGCUGUGAUCUAAGAAACACCAAUAUCUCUGCCGUCACAGAGGCGGAGUUCCUGGAACUUCUUAUAAGAAAUCGCUCCAUGUAAUACUUCUCUCAAUGUAAUACACGCAUUUCU
Molecule: long non-coding RNA, 2378 nt
Organism: Ictalurus punctatus (channel catfish)
Lineage: Eukaryota; Metazoa; Chordata; Actinopteri; Siluriformes; Ictaluridae
Source: Ensembl